UGAGCUUAUUUAUCAGAAAUAUACCAGCACCUUGAGACUUGCCACAAGGCUUCAUGAUCCACGUGCUCUGUGGCGAUUUUCGAUAUUCCUCGACAAACAUAUUGUAAUCUGUGCUUUGAGUGUUAGAAAUUAAUUUUUCUUGGAAUUCUUUACCGAGUCCAGAUUUUCGGGACAACGGAUAUCGAAACACAAUCACGCAGUUCUGGUGCUUACCUCCCAUAAAUAGUUGCCAAAUUAGAGUUUCCAGCUCGUUUAACAUCGGGACCCAGGGUAUUCGCCAUUACUUACAAAUGAUUUGAGUUUAAUGUUUGAUCGAUAUAUUUACAUGUUCUAUGGAGACCGCCAGAAAGAAGACUUUGGAGAAGAUAAUAAAUGCAAUGUAUAAUCUGUUUGAAA
Molecule: long non-coding RNA, 396 nt
Organism: Venturia canescens
Lineage: Eukaryota; Metazoa; Arthropoda; Insecta; Hymenoptera; Ichneumonidae
Exons: 2
Source: RefSeq, a predicted model, not a curated record